This is a long non-coding RNA of Cyprinus carpio (common carp), 251 nucleotides long. RefSeq lists it as uncharacterized. Lineage: Eukaryota; Metazoa; Chordata; Actinopteri; Cypriniformes; Cyprinidae. The record is from RefSeq and is a predicted model, not a curated record. The transcript has 2 exons.
UACACACCACUUUAACAAGGAUUAUAAAGUCUGCGCUACACUACAUUCUUUAUUAUUAAACAGAGUAAUUAGAACAAGCACAGUCUACAUUAAUUGACAUAUUCGAUUAAUGUGAUUCUAAGGUGAUUCUGAGUUGACUCUUUCUUUUGAGAGACUAUCUUUAUUUAUCAUGCACUUUUUUGAUUAACAACUUUGCAGAAUGUUUACAUUGAAGGAUAGAUAUCUUACAAACUGCAAAAGAGAGAUUUUUC